GACGUAGGGCGCGAGCGUUGUCCGGAUUUAUUGGGCGUAAAGAGCUCGUAGGCGGCUUGUUGCGUCGACUGUGAAAACCCGCGGCUCAACCGCGUGGCUUGCAGUCGAUACGGGCAGGCUAGAAUUCGGUAGGGGAGACUGGAAUUCCUGGUGUAGCGGUGAAAUGCGCAGAUAUCAGGAAGAACACCAAUGGCGAAAGCAGCUUUCUGGGACGGUACUGACGCUGAGACGCGAAAGCGUGGGGAGCGAACAGG
RNAcentral lists this ribosomal RNA (254 nucleotides) under uncultured bacterium. Its description in RNAcentral is "partial 16S ribosomal RNA". It matches the Rfam family "Bacterial small subunit ribosomal RNA", at positions 524 to 776 of the family's 1533-position model. The record is from RNAcentral.